GUAGUCUCGCACAGAUGCAUAUCAAUAAGCGGAGGAAAAGAAACUAACAAGGAUUCCCCUAGUAACGGCGAGUGAAGCGGGAAGAGCUCAAAUUUGAAAUCUUAAAGGGUUUCCCUUUACGAAUUGUAGUUUAAAGAAGUGUUUUCUGUUGAGGUUUUGGUAAAAGUUCUUUGGAAUAGGACAUCAUAGAGGGUGAGAAGUCCCGUAUUUGACCUUUACUUUCAACUUUGUGAUACACUUUCAAAGAGUCGGAUUGUUUGGGAAUGCAGUCCAAAAUGGGUGGUAAAUUUCAUCUAAAGCUAAAUAUUGGCGAGAGACCGAUAGCGAACAAGUACCGUGAGGGAAAGACUGAAAAGAACUUUGAAAAGAGAGUUAAACAGUACGUGAAAUUGUCAAAAGGGAAGCGUUUGACACCAGUGUUGUUUUUCUGAAAAUCAAUUAAAGAACUGUUUAUGCUAAGCUGUUUAGACUUUAUCAGCUAAUCUGCUUAGUUUUGAGCUUUUCUUUAAUGCACUUUUCAGUUAACAAGUCAACAUCAAUUUCUUUUGCUGUAAAAAAGCUUGAGGAAGGUGGCUUGAGAUUCGUCUUAAGUGUUUAUAGCCUCUUGCCUAUGCAGUCGGAGAGAUUGAGGUCUGCAGCGUAGAUCCUUCGGGGCUAAAUGCAUUUGUGCUAAGUUAUAGCAUUUCAUAGACAACUUGUUGACUAUGAUUUGUCUUGUAGCUUACUCGCUUAUGUUAUUUUACCUACGCUUAGGAUGUUGACAGCAGUAUAGACUGU
Molecule: ribosomal RNA, 777 nt
Filed under: uncultured Neocallimastigales
Lineage: Eukaryota; Fungi; Neocallimastigomycota; Neocallimastigomycetes; Neocallimastigales
Description: partial large subunit ribosomal RNA
Rfam family: Eukaryotic large subunit ribosomal RNA
Source: RNAcentral